GAUGAACGCUAGCUACAGGCUUAACACAUGCAAGUCGAGGGGAAACGAUGAGAGAGCUUGCUCUCUUAGGCGUCGACCGGCGCACGGGUGAGUAACGCGUAUCCAACCUACCCAUUACAGGGGGAUAACCUUGCGAAAGUAAGACUAAUACCCCAUGGCAUUUUAUGGUGGCAUCAUUAUAGGAUUUAAGAUUUAUUGGUAAUGGAUGGGGAUGCGUCUGAUUAGCUUGUUGGCGGGGUAACGGCCCACCAAGGCAACGAUCAGUAGGGGUUCUGAGAGGAAGGUCCCCCACAUUGGAACUGAGACACGGUCCAAACUCCUACGGGAGGCAGCAGUGAGGAAUAUUGGUCAAUGGGCGAGAGCUUGAACCAGCCAAGUAGCGUGCAGGAUGACGGCCCUAUGGGUUGUAAACUGCUUUUAUAGGGGAAUAAAGUGAGCUACGUGUAGUUUAUUGCAUGUACCCUAUGAAUAAGGACCGGCUAAUUCCGUG
This 490-nucleotide ribosomal RNA is filed under the name uncultured bacterium. Its description in RNAcentral is "partial 16S ribosomal RNA". It matches the Rfam family "Bacterial small subunit ribosomal RNA", at positions 28 to 507 of the family's 1533-position model. The record is from RNAcentral.